This 460-nucleotide ribosomal RNA is filed under the name uncultured bacterium. RNAcentral describes it as "partial 16S ribosomal RNA". It matches the Rfam family "Bacterial small subunit ribosomal RNA", at positions 338 to 795 of the family's 1533-position model. The record is from RNAcentral.
CCUACGGGGGGCAGCAGUGAGGAAUAUUGGUCAAUGGACGAGAGUCUGAACCAGCCAAGUAGCGUGAAGGAUGACUGCCCUAUGGGUUGUAAACUUCUUUUAUAUGGGAAUAAAACGUUCCACGUGUGGGAUUUUGUAUGUACCAUAUGAAUAAGGAUCGGCUAACUCCGGGCCAGCAGCCGCGGUAAUACGGAGGAUCCGAGCGUUAUCCGGAUUUAUUGGGUUUAAAGGGAGCGUAGGUGGAUUGUUAAGUCAGUUGUGAAAGUUUGCGGCUCAACCGUAAAAUUGCAGUUGAAACUGGCAGUCUUGAGUACAGGAGAGGUGGGCGGAAUUCGUGGUGUAGCGGUGAAAUGCUUAGAUAUCACGAAGAACUCCGAUUGCGAAGGCAGUUCACUGGACUGCAACUGACACUGAGGCUCGAAAGUGUGGGUAUCAAACAGGAUUAGAUACCCUUGUAGUC